AGGCACGUUAAAGACGAUGACGUUGAUAGGCCGGGUGUGUAAGCGCAGCGAUGCGUUGAGCUAACCGGUACUAAUGAACCGUGAGGCUUAACCUUACAACGCCGAAG
RNAcentral lists this ribosomal RNA (107 nucleotides) under Klebsiella pneumoniae. Its description in RNAcentral is "partial 23S ribosomal RNA". The stretch from base 1 to 95 matches the Rfam family "Bacterial large subunit ribosomal RNA", at positions 2831 to 2925 of the family's 2925-position model. Lineage: Bacteria; Pseudomonadati; Pseudomonadota; Gammaproteobacteria; Enterobacterales; Enterobacteriaceae. The record is from RNAcentral.